UAGCCCGUGAGGACGGCCUGUGGGUUGUAAACCGCUUUUCUCAGGGAAGAAGACAGUGACGGUACCUGAGGAAUCAGCCUCGGCUAACUCCGUGCCAGCAGCCGCGGUAAUACGGAGGAGGCAAGCGUUAUCCGGAAUGAUUGGGCGUAAAGCGUUCGUAGGUGGCAAUUCAAGUCUGCUGUCAAAGACAGUAGCUCAACUACUGCAAGGCAGUGGAAACUGAAUAGCUAGAGUGCGGUAGGGGCAGAGGGAAUUCCCGGUGUAGCGGUGAAAUGCGUAGAGAUCGGGAAGAACACCGGUGGCGAAAGCGCUCUGCUGGGCCGCAACUGACACUGAGGGACGAAAGCUAGGGGAGCGAAUGGGAUUAGAUACCCCAGUAGUC
This 382-nucleotide ribosomal RNA is filed under the name uncultured cyanobacterium. RNAcentral's name for it is "bacterial SSU rRNA". It matches the Rfam family "Bacterial small subunit ribosomal RNA", at positions 395 to 795 of the family's 1533-position model. The record is from RNAcentral. Lineage: Bacteria; Bacillati; Cyanobacteriota.